CAGGCCUAACACAUGCAAGUCGAGCGGAGUGAUGGUGCUUGCACUAUCACUUAGCGGCGGACGGGUGAGUAAUGCUUAGGAAUCUGCCAUUUAGUGGGGGACAACAUUCCGAAAGGAAUGCUAAUACCGCAUACGUCCUACGGGAGAAAGCAGGGGAUCUUCGGACCUUGCGCUAAAUGAUGAGCCUAAGUCGGAUUAGCUAGUUGGUGGGGUAAAGGCCUACCAAGGCGACGAUCUGUAGCGGGUCUGAGAGGAUGAUCCGCCACACUGGGACUGAGACACGGCCCAGACUCCUACGGGAGGCAGCAGUGGGGAAUAUUGGACAAUGGGCGGAAGCCUGAUCCAGCCAUGCCGCGUGUGUGAAGAAGGCCUUUUGGUUGUAAAGCACUUUAAGCGAGGAGGAGGCUCUCCUAGUUAAUACCUAGGAUGAGUGGACGUUACUCGCAGAAUAAGCACCGGCUAACUCUGUGCCAGCAGCCGCGGUAAU
This 487-nucleotide ribosomal RNA is filed under the name uncultured bacterium. RNAcentral describes it as "bacterial SSU rRNA". It matches the Rfam family "Bacterial small subunit ribosomal RNA", at positions 43 to 524 of the family's 1533-position model. The record is from RNAcentral.